GGGCUCGUAGUCUAGCGGUUAGUUUAAUAAUUAAAAAUAAGAAACCCGCAAAUGACGCCACCCUUACAAGGUGGAGGUCGGCAGUUCGAAUCUGCCCGGGCCCA
RNAcentral lists this transfer RNA (104 nucleotides) under Candidatus Woesearchaeota archaeon. RNAcentral's name for it is "tRNA-Val". It matches the Rfam family "tRNA". From Rfam's summary of the family: Transfer RNA (tRNA) molecules are approximately 80 nucleotides in length. Their secondary structure includes four short double-helical elements and three loops (D, anti-codon, and T loops). Lineage: Archaea; Nanobdellati; Candidatus Woesearchaeota. The record is from RNAcentral.